AUGAAGUUUGAAACAAGUAGCCGCUCUGGCUCUGUAAAGCCCUCUCCUUUUUCUCUGCUUAAACCCUAAAAAGUUUUUUUGUGUGUGAUUUUUGAUGUGAAAGUGGGAGAUUGAGAUGAGGAUUAGAUUUCGUAUCCCUAUUGGUUUGAACGCCGUGAUGAUGGCGAAACUAUGUAUUAGCUCUAUCUGAUCCUUCUUCCCACACCAGAAAAUUGUGCCAUUUGCUUCAUCAAAUUGGUUUUUUUCGUUUGUUUUGGAUUUUUUCGGUUUCAAAUUGAACAUAGCUUAGAUCUUUUAAUUUCUUCAAUCUGUUUGAGACUUUGGGACUUGGAGAAUUUUGAGGAUUGACAAUGAGAUGAUGAUUGAACUUUGUUUCCCUAUUGGUUUGAUUGCCGUCAUGAUGGCAUCUAUGUAUUAGCU
This 420-nucleotide long non-coding RNA is filed under the name Prunus dulcis (almond). Its description in RNAcentral is "sRNA ncRNA". The stretch from base 109 to 196 matches the Rfam family "Small nucleolar RNA Z102/R77". The record is from RNAcentral. Lineage: Eukaryota; Viridiplantae; Streptophyta; Magnoliopsida; Rosales; Rosaceae.